RNAcentral lists this long non-coding RNA (1009 nucleotides) under Equus caballus (horse). RNAcentral describes it as "lncRNA (ENSECAG00000054003.1)". The record is from RNAcentral. Lineage: Eukaryota; Metazoa; Chordata; Mammalia; Perissodactyla; Equidae.
CGGUAGGAGAGGCAGGGGCUCACUCGGUGGACGCAUUCUGGACGGCCUUGUGCUCCUUCGUGGGCACCGCCCUCCCCCACCUCCCCCCAGCCAAUCGCCACCGUCGACCUCCUCGAUGACCACCACUGCGCACGGUGCGCACGUCCAGGCAGUAUGGGGCAACGCGGUAAACCCCGGGGUCAGAGGCAGCUGCGUGGAAACUCUGCACCCCACCCCUGCCGCAGAAGCUGUGCAGCGCCGGGCGGGUGCGUGCGGGGUGGAUCCGUGACGAUGCUCUCGGCGCCCAGGAGGAGCGUGAAGCGCUAGGCCAGGAAGAGAAGUGUCGGUGCUGCUGCUUCCUGCACAGCCUGCAGCUGCGAGCCAGAACUCACAGGUGUGCAGGGGCCCGGGCUCAAAUUGAACCGCGCCGCACUGGCAGCCCCCGAUGUAGCGCACGGGGCCUGGGUGCUCGAGGGUGUCCAGCAGGAACGCAGCGCUCCCCUCGCAGCUGAGGCUCCGCGGCUUCCUGAACGUCUCCCAGCGCUCCCGCUGCGCGCCCAGGUCCAUCUCCUUGGGGGACAGGGCGGGCGCCAGCGGCUUCGGGGAGGGCAGCGGAUCUUCCGAGCUCGCCUCUCGGAGACCGCCGCCACCAGCGCUUCCGCCUCAGCCUUGCCGGAUCCCUCUCGGCCGCCGCCGGCUUCCUCGCUGCCGCGUGGCUCCCCACCUAGCCUUGGACAGGUGGGCACCGCUGCGCGCCCACGACCGCGAUGGCUGCACAGGCGGCGGCAAGAUCCCCAGCCCUCUUUCACCCCCGCAGUUGAGCAUUCGCGCUGCUCUUCACUCUGGCCGUGGCGCCUGCAGCCUUCCAAGCGUGUGCCCACCGUCCUUCGUUUCCUAGUAAGUCACCGAGCAGCAGCCUCAUUGCAUCAGCCAGGUUGGCCACUUGUCGAACGCGGCGUAAAGAGCCCCUUCCCUUGACCCUAUCAAAACAGCCUUUACUUGCCUGAAUUUCAGUCAUAAGGCAAGUAUU